GACAGAGGGGGCAAGCGUUGCUCGGAAUUACUGGGCGUAAAGGGCGCGUAGGCGGAAUGGCAAGUCGGUCGUGAAAUCCUUCGGCUCAACCGAAGAACGUCGAUCGAAACUGCCGUUCUUGAGGAUUGCAGAGGAGACUGGAAUUCCCGGUGUAGCGGUGAAAUGUGUAGAUAUCGAGAGGAACACCUGCGGCGAAGGCGGGUUGCUGGGCUGACACUGACGCUGAUUGUGCGAAAGCUAGGGGAGCGAACGGG
Molecule: ribosomal RNA, 254 nt
Filed under: uncultured bacterium
Lineage: Bacteria
Description: partial 16S ribosomal RNA
Rfam family: Bacterial small subunit ribosomal RNA
Source: RNAcentral